GCUCCUUUAAAGCAAGCAGGUUCUGCUUCUCUCCCUCCUCCCCACUCAGCGGCUCUUCUCCCGCUUUGCUGGAAAUAGCAGGAAAGAUUUUCAGCUCGCUAAGGGGGGGGGAGGAGGGAGAGAAGCAGAGCCUGCUUGCUUUAAAGGAGCC
This 151-nucleotide microRNA precursor is filed under the name Podarcis lilfordi (Lilford's wall lizard). The record is from RNAcentral. Lineage: Eukaryota; Metazoa; Chordata; Lepidosauria; Squamata; Lacertidae.